CUACAACGUCUGGGACCACAGCCAUGACAGCCUGCUGCGGAGUUUGGUGUUCUCGGCAUCUGCUGCGAUCAGGGUCCCCAGGCGGUUCCUGUCCCUUCUUGAGCACGGGUGGGAGUCGUGGCUGCGUGGACCGUCCCAGAGUGGCAGGGCUGACUGUUGGCCGGCUUUUCUGGAAGAUGUCCUGCAUCCCUGAAGUGGGCAGGCUUCCAUGUUACCUUCGAGGAGGGGAGUCCAAGGCCUCCUUGUCCCUGCCCACACAUAGCUCGGUGGCAGCUGCCAUUCCUUGGUGUUUUCGGCAGCGGCAAUGCCAGGAUUACAGGGCUAGAAAAAACCUGAGCUGAGCCUUGUAUGGCUGUUGGGCUGUCCUAUGGACCCAUCUGGGAAGGCGAUGUGGAUACAGAAGACGCCAGCAGUCACCAAGCGAGGAGGGAGCAGCACUCGCACCUUAACUGAGCAGAUUGAAGCUCACUUGCUCCGAGUGCAGAAGGUAUCAGCAGUUCCAGGUUGGUGUGAGUGUCUUGGGCCCACGUUCUCUGCUCCGGAAUAUGGAGCCUGGCUGUGCCUCAGCCUUUCUGGCAUUUCCUGGAUGAAAGGGCAUUUAAUAAAUAUGACUUUGAAUGUG
Molecule: long non-coding RNA, 622 nt
Organism: Heterocephalus glaber (naked mole-rat)
Lineage: Eukaryota; Metazoa; Chordata; Mammalia; Rodentia; Bathyergidae
Source: Ensembl